GUGCCAGCAGCCGCGGUAAGACAGAGGUGGCAAGCGUUGUUCGGAUUCAUUGGGUGUAAAGGGUCCGUAGGUGGUCGAGCAAGUCUGAUGUGAAAUCCCAUGGCUCAACCGUGGAACUGCAUUGGAAACUGCGCGACUUGAGUACCGCAGAGGUGAAGGGAAUUCCCGGUGUAAGGGUGAAAUCUGUAGAUAUCGGGAGGAACACCAGUGGCGAAGGCGCUUCACUGGGCGGUUACUGACACUGAGGGACGAAAGCAAGGGUAGCAAACAGGAUUAGAAACCCUUGUAGUCC
This 292-nucleotide ribosomal RNA is filed under the name uncultured bacterium. RNAcentral's name for it is "partial 16S ribosomal RNA". It matches the Rfam family "Bacterial small subunit ribosomal RNA", at positions 505 to 796 of the family's 1533-position model. The record is from RNAcentral.